Solanum tuberosum (potato) is the source of this 107-nucleotide non-coding RNA. NCBI's taxonomy places the organism in Eukaryota, Viridiplantae, Streptophyta, Magnoliopsida, Solanales, Solanaceae. The record is from Rfam.
AAUCCAUGAGUCAGGCAUUGAAGUAGGAGUUUCUUAAACCUCAGCCACAUUUCAUGGAUGUGUUCACCCUCCAAUCGUUUGAAACCUUCAAUGUUAUCUCUGAGUUU